CAGUAGCCGCGGGAAUACGAAGGGGGCUAGCGUUGCUCGGAAUGACUGGGCGUAAAGGGCGCGUAGGCGGCGAUCAAAGUCAGGCGUGAAAUUCCUGGGCUCAACCUGGGGGCUGCGUUUGAUACUUGAUUGCUAGAGUGGGGAAGAGGGUCGUGGAAUUCCCAGUGUAGAGGUGAAAUUCGUAGAUAUUGGGAAGAACACCGGUGGCGAAGGCGGCGACCUGGUCCUUGACUGACGCUGAGGCGCGAAAGCGUGGGGAGCAAGCAGGAUUAGAUACCCCUGUAGUCCCUGUCUCUUAUAC
This 301-nucleotide ribosomal RNA is filed under the name uncultured bacterium. RNAcentral's name for it is "partial 16S ribosomal RNA". It matches the Rfam family "Bacterial small subunit ribosomal RNA", at positions 509 to 807 of the family's 1533-position model. The record is from RNAcentral.